RNAcentral lists this unclassified non-coding RNA (269 nucleotides) under uncultured fungus. RNAcentral's name for it is "sequence contains ITS1, 5.8S rRNA gene". The stretch from base 221 to 269 matches the Rfam family "5.8S ribosomal RNA", at positions 1 to 49 of the family's 154-position model. The record is from RNAcentral. Lineage: Eukaryota; Fungi.
UCUCCGUUGGUGAACCAGCGGAGGGAUCAUUGCUGGAAGCGUCUCACGACGCACCCAGAUACCCUUUGUGAACUUAUACCUAUCUGUUGCCUCGGCGCAGGCUGGGAGCUUUUGUAAACUCCCCCACGCGGACUCACCUCUGCGCGGAGCAGGCCCGCCGGCGGCCAAGUUAACUCUUGUUUUUACACUGAAACUCUGAGAAAAAACACAAAUGAAUCAAAACUUUCAACAACGGAUCUCUUGGUUCUGGCAUCGAUGAAGAACGCAGC